Molecule: non-coding RNA, 184 nt
Filed under: Lacimicrobium alkaliphilum
Lineage: Bacteria; Pseudomonadati; Pseudomonadota; Gammaproteobacteria; Alteromonadales; Alteromonadaceae
Description: 6S / SsrS RNA
Rfam family: 6S / SsrS RNA
About the family: E. coli 6S RNA was the first non coding RNA to be sequenced, but its function was unknown until recently. It consists of 184 nucleotides that fold into an extended hairpin structure with a large single-stranded internal bulge.
Source: Rfam by way of RNAcentral
UGUCUCCUGGGAUGUACGCCAGUUCAGUAAUGUCCCUGGCCGAUGCUAAUCUCCAAGGGGGUUGAAUUACAUUGCUAUUGCGCAAGCUCGGCCUGAACCGAGAAGCCUGCGGCAGUGAUGAAGCCCCCGCCCUGAACUUUUCGGUUCUAGGGCUCAAUCUGAGCAGCGGCAUUUUGGGAGACAC